AGAACGAACGCUGGCGGCGUGGAUAAGACAUGCAAGUCGAACGCGAUUUAUCAGGUUAGCAAUAACUUGGUAAAUUGAGUGGCGAAAGGGUGCGUAACACGUGGGAAUUUACCAAGAAGUGGGGAAUAGCUCGACGAAAGUCGAAUUAAUACCGCAUACGAUCGCAAGAUCAAAGCCGGGGACCGCAAGGCCUGGCGCUUUUUGAGAAGCCCGCGGCCCAUCAGCUAGUUGGCGGGGUAACGGCCCACCAAGGCUAUGACGGGUAGCUGGUCUGAGAGGACGACCAGCCACACUGGAACUGAGACACGGUCCAGACACCUACGGGUGGCAGCAGUCGAGAAUUUUUUCACAAUGGACGAAAGUCUGAUGGAGCGACGCCGCGUGGAGGAUGAAGGUUUCGGAUUGUAAACUCCUGUCACUGCAGACAAGGGUGCGUUAUGAAUAGUAGAUGCAUUGAUGGUAUGCGGAGAGGAAGGGACGGCUAACGUCUGCG
This 493-nucleotide ribosomal RNA is filed under the name uncultured bacterium. RNAcentral describes it as "SSU rRNA". It matches the Rfam family "Bacterial small subunit ribosomal RNA", at positions 26 to 507 of the family's 1533-position model. The record is from RNAcentral.